This 486-nucleotide ribosomal RNA is filed under the name uncultured bacterium. RNAcentral's name for it is "bacterial SSU rRNA". It matches the Rfam family "Bacterial small subunit ribosomal RNA", at positions 29 to 507 of the family's 1533-position model. The record is from RNAcentral.
AUGAACGCUAGCGACAGGCUUAACACAUGCAAGUCGAGGGGCAGCAUGAAGUAGCAAUACUUUGAUGGCGACCGGCGCACGGGUGAGUAACGCGUAUGCAACCUACCUGAUACAGAGGGAUAGCCCAUGGAAACGUGGAUUAACACCUCAUAGUAUUAUAUAAUUGCAUGAUUAUAUAAUUAAAUCUUUGGAGGUAUCAGAUGGGCAUGCGUCCUAUUAGCUAGUUGGCGGGGUAACGGCCCACCAAGGCGAUGAUAGGUAGGGGGUUCUGAGAGGAAGGUCCCCCACAUUGGAACUGAGACACGGUCCAAACUCCUACGGGAGGCAGCAGUGAGGAAUAUUGGUCAAUGGUCGAGAGACUGAACCAGCCAAGUCGCGUGAGGGACGACUGCCCUAUGGGUUGUAAACCUCUUUUGUAAGGGAAGAAUAAUUUAUACGCGUAUAGAGAUGCCUGUACCUUACGAAUAAGCAUCGGCUAACUCCGUG